Arabidopsis thaliana (thale cress) is the source of this 318-nucleotide long non-coding RNA. RefSeq annotates it as other RNA. The record is from RefSeq. Lineage: Eukaryota; Viridiplantae; Streptophyta; Magnoliopsida; Brassicales; Brassicaceae. The transcript has a single exon.
GCAACUAGAGUAUUUGGAGUUUACAUGUUCAAGUGAAGCUUCUAGUUCAAGAAGAGGCUUUGAAGGGAAUAAAGAAGAAGUCACAAGUGUGGAUGUUAACACGUGCGAACGUUUGUUAGAUUCAGCUCAUCACUUAAUACAAGAGCAGAGAGGUGAGCUUAAUGAUGGAUAAAUUCUUAUUCUCAAUUUUGGGUUCUUGGUGAGAGUUAGAGAGAGAGAAGUGAGAGAGAGUGAUUCUCUGGGUUUUGCUCCUUGUUCUUUAUCUUCUUCUUCAUCUUCUUAGAGAGAGAUUUGUAGACGAGAGUUGGUGAGAGAUCU